GAGGCGAUGAAGGACGUGCUAAUCUGCGAUAAGCGUCGGUAAGGUGAUAUGAACCGUUAUAACCGGCGAUUUCCGAAUGGGGAAACCCAGUGUGAUUCGUCACACUAUCAUUAACUGAAUCCAUAGGUUAAUGAGGCGAACCGGGGGAACUGAAACAUCUAAGUACCCCGAGGAAAAGAAAUCAACCGAGAUUCCCCCAGUAGCGGCGAGCGAACGGGGAGGAGCCCAGAGCCUGAAUCAGUGUGUGUGUUAGUGGAAGCGUCUGGAAAGGCGCGCGAUACAGGGUGACAGCCCCGUACACAAAAAUGCACAUGCUGUGAGCUCGAUGAGUAGGGCGGGACACGUGGUAUCCUGUCUGAAUAUGGGGGGACCAUCCUCCAAGGCUAAAUACUCCUGACUGACCGAUAGUGAACCAGUACCGUGAGGGAAAGGCGAAAAGAACCCCGGCGAGGGGAGUGAAAAAGAACCUGAAACCGUGUACGUACAAGCAGUGGGAGCCUCUUUAUGGGGUGACUGCGUACCUUUUGUAUAAUGGGUCAGCGACUUAUAUUCUGUAGCAAGGUUAACCGAAUAGGGGAGCCGAAGGGAAACCGAGUCUUAACUGGGCGUUAAGUUGCAGGGUAUAGACCCGAAACCCGGUGAUCUAGCCAUGGGCAGGUUGAAGGUUGGGUAACACUAACUGGAGGACCGAACCGACUAAUGUUGAAAAAUUAGCGGAUGACUUGUGGCUGGGGGUGAAAGGCCAAUCAAACCGGGAGAUAGCUGGUUCUCCCCGAAAGCUAUUUAGGUAGCGCCUCGUGAAUUCAUCUCCGGGGGUAGAGCACUGUUUCGGCAAGGGGGUCAUCCCGACUUACCAACCCGAUGCAAACUGCGAAUACCGGAGAAUGUUAUCACGGGAGACACACGGCGGGUGCUAACGUCCGUCGUGAAGAGGGAAACAACCCAGACCGCCAGCUAAGGUCCCAAAGUCAUGGUUAAGUGGGAAACGAUGUGGGAAGGCCCAGACAGCCAGGAUGUUGGCUUAGAAGCAGCCAUCAUUUAAAGAAAGCGUAAUAGCUCACUGGUCGAGUCGGCCUGCGCGGAAGAUGUAACGGGGCUAAACCAUG
RNAcentral lists this ribosomal RNA (1106 nucleotides) under Escherichia coli. Its description in RNAcentral is "partial 23S ribosomal RNA". It matches the Rfam family "Bacterial large subunit ribosomal RNA", at positions 43 to 1191 of the family's 2925-position model. The record is from RNAcentral. Lineage: Bacteria; Pseudomonadati; Pseudomonadota; Gammaproteobacteria; Enterobacterales; Enterobacteriaceae.